Molecule: RNA transcript, 546 nt
Organism: Rhinopithecus roxellana (golden snub-nosed monkey)
Lineage: Eukaryota; Metazoa; Chordata; Mammalia; Primates; Cercopithecidae
Gene name: immunoglobulin heavy variable 3-72-like
Exons: 2
Source: RefSeq, a predicted model, not a curated record
AGCCCAGCUCUCACCCUGCAGCUCUGGGAGAGGAGCCCCAGCCUAGGAUUCCCAGGAGUUUCCACUUGGUGACCAGCACUGAACACAGACCACCAGCCAUGGAGUUGGGGUUGAGCUGGGUUUUCCUUGUUGCUAUUUUAAGAGGUGUCCAGUGUGAGGUGCAGCUGGUGGAGUCUGGAGGAGGAUUGGUCCAGCCUGGCGGGUCCCUGAGACUCUCCUGUGCAGCCUCUGGAUUCACCUUCAGUAAUCACUACAUGCACUAGGGUCCACCAGGCUCCAGGAAAGGGGCUGGAGUGGGUAGGUUUCAUUAGAAACAAUGCUAAUGGUGCGACAACAGAAUACGCCGCGUCUGUGAAAGGCAGAUUCACUAUCUCAAGAGAUGAUUCCAAAAGCGUCGCCAGUCUGCAAAUGAGCAGCCUGAAAACGGAGGACACGGCCGUGUAUUACUGUGCUAGAGACACAGUGAGGGGAGGUCAGUGUGAGCCCAGACGCAAACCUCCCUGCAGGGGCGCGCGGGGCCACCAGGGGGCGCUCGGGACCCACUGA